Molecule: small RNA, 133 nt
Filed under: Citrobacter amalonaticus
Lineage: Bacteria; Pseudomonadati; Pseudomonadota; Gammaproteobacteria; Enterobacterales; Enterobacteriaceae
Also listed under: 2 other names
Description: RtT sRNA
Rfam family: RtT RNA
About the family: This family represents a bacterial cis-regulatory element known as RtT RNA. The exact function of RtT is unknown although it is thought that it may be involved in changing the cellular response in relation to amino acid starvation.
Source: RNAcentral
UUAUAUUCCCCAAUGGGGGGGAUGAGAAUCCCCGACCGGGGGUCGACAACGGGCGCAGCCCGUUGGACGGAAUGGCCGCAGGCCAUGACGCCCGCAGGGCGAGCGAAGCGAGUCAAUCCCCCCCUCACCGCCA